Molecule: long non-coding RNA, 1953 nt
Organism: Helianthus annuus (common sunflower)
Lineage: Eukaryota; Viridiplantae; Streptophyta; Magnoliopsida; Asterales; Asteraceae
Exons: 12
Source: RefSeq, a predicted model, not a curated record
ACCACAAUUCGUUUCAUCCGCCGCUCCACCUUUCUCUACAAACCCUAGAUCCUCCACCGCUCCUCCACCUUUCAUCCAUGGAACCGGUCGUCGCCAUCACCGUCUUCUCCCCUUCUCCACUCCAACAGUCGCUUCAUGAUCUAGGGUUUCACUGAGAAACCAGUCGUUUCAUGAUCUAGGGUUUUUCUGUAGAUCUGAUGCUAUCUCAACAGAUUCGACACCAGAUCCGACACCAGAUCCGACACCAAAUCCGACACCAGAUCGAUUUCUAUGGCUUCUUUCCCGGUGGCUUCAAGAUCCGACACUAUCUCAGUAGAUCCAACACCAGAUCUACUGGUUUGACUGUAGGAUCUUCCGUUUGGUUGUGGGUUCGUCAACGAUGGUGGUUGUGGGUGGAAGAUCUGGCCAGAUCUAUGGCUCUGUUCUUUAAAUUUCUUGGAGGAUCUUAAGCUCAGGUGCAACGGGAAAUGUGAAUAAGGUUUCAUGGGUGAUUUUAAGUUCAGAAGGGAGAAGGAACUGAGACUGAAGAUGUUCUUGAUGAUGGAAUCGUGAAAAACAUACAAAUCUUAUUGCUUCUUCAGGUUGCGGUUUCCUAUGAAAGUAUCGGACCUAAUGAAGAAUGGUGGUCAAACCAUGUUGAUGAGAUAAUUGAGAUGUUGAAGUUCAUAGUGAAACAUGGUAGAAGUGAAAUGGGAGUACCAUAAUUUGGCUGGACAACACAAAAAGUCUUCCACUUAAUGAAUUUGUUGGUAAAUGGAUCGACUGUAUCAAUUAGUCGACGAAAAUGUAACUGCAGGUGGAGAUAUGCAGUCGGUGUUAUGAGCACCCGAACCCGUUGGUGAUUCAAGGUGCAGGAGCAGGCAAUUAUACUACAGCGGCUGGUGUUCUUGCUGACAUCAUUGAUCUUCAGGAUCAGUUUCCAUUUACAAACACAGGGAAAUGAUUUGAUUUUUAGUCGAUCAACAGUCUCUUUGGAUUUGUUCUAUGUGGUAAUUUUUUUAAUAAAUUCUAAUAUGUACUAUAUGCAGCCCCUUUUCCCUGGUGAAAGUGGUGUAGAUCAACUGGCGGAGAUAAUUAAGAUUUUGGGAACACCAACACGUGAGGAAAUUAAAUGCAUGAUUCCACAUUAUACACACUUUAAGUUCCCACAGAUCAAGGCUCAUCCAUGGCACAAGGUCUCGAACUGGUUUAUAAACGCAAGAGUUCGUUUAUGGAAGCCAAUGGUGGAAGAAAUGUACAAAGAGGAAGCUGGAGAUGCAGAAACAGAAUCAAAUUCUUCAUCAGAAAUCGCACCCAAAACCACGAAAGGCGAUCGAAAGACUUCUGUUGACCAAGAAGAUCUGAACCAAAGCACUGCAGCCUCUGGAUUCGACUCGAAAGACUUCUGUUGAUUUAUGUUUUAAAUGAAUCACCUGUUAGCUGAUUAUGGUCGCUCUCGCACCUGAUCCGUCGCGUUUAUUGUUGUUUCGAAUAAGGCGGCCGUAAAGAAGAUGACUGGACCUAUCCCAGCUGUGGGAAUGUCAAUUUUUCAUUUAGGACAACUUGCAAUAUGCGUAACUGUACACAACCCAAACCAGCUGAUCAGUUUGAAUGAGGAUGGCCUGAAUCUACGCAAGGGUUGUGUUCAGCAGUUGCUGCUUGCCUUGCAGCUGUAAAGCAAGCUAAACACUGUUGUCUGAAAGGGAGCAUGCUUGCUUCAGUCUCUAUAAAUACGACAUCGAGCUCUACACUCUACAAACACUCAACUACACUCAACUGAGACAAAUUAAACUUUCAAAUUAAUAUCAAUACUCUUUGCAUCUGGAUCUUGCGUUGUUUCUCGGCUCUUUACAUCAGGGUUUUACAUUUUUUGUCGGCUCUUUACAUCUACCUCUUGCAUCGUUGUAAGUUCUUUCACAUUUCUUGGUUAUUUUUGUAACUUUUAACUGUUGUUUUUGCAUCUGUAUUGUUCAA